UUGUGUACAGUACAGUAAGCUGGUGAAUACGACACAAGUCGGUACAGGUUGUCGUUUCUCUUCCUUGGUACGGAGAUCCGACAACUGAGACUCCAACUAAUUUGGCUCUGAUGUGUGAAACAGCCAGCACCUUUUAAGAUUAAAUGUUUGUUUGAUGAGCCUCACUGCAGAAAACUAUUUACAAAGAAACUCCAAUUGAGACGUGGACAAAGAAACCUCUGAAUUACAAACUUCCUGUUGAGUGCGGCAUGAACUUUUAUUUCCUGUACAAUUCAAAGGCCUGAAGAUCUUGAACAGAGGAUUUAUAUUUUUUGGAUUGAGGCUGAAAAUAAGCAAAGAGGGAGAUAAAAGAAAUCAUAAACACAAAAGCAUAUUUACAAAAUCUCAAGUUCAGAAAAGACAAUAAUGAAUAGAGAUGAUGUGUUUGCUAAACUUUCUGAAAAGAACAGACUAUUCAUCACACAACAAGAGACAAAUGAGCCAAUAAUGGAAACUAUUCUAAAUGGGUUAAGCAGGAUGUGGGACAAAGUUAAGAGAAAGCUCAAUGAAAAUGAUGAAGAAAGAAAUAAAUGGGGAGCAGUUGGAGGAGCUGGCAUGUUAUUAGGAUUAGGAACAGUGGUAGGAUUAGCAUUUGGGGGAGGAGGAAUGCUGCUGAGAGUAGGUUUAGGAGCUGCAUCUGCCGUUGUCUCACAAGGUUUAUUUGGAGUUGGACUUAUGGGUGAUUCCGAAGCAAAUAAUAAGAGAGAUGACUUGCUUAGAAACGAGCAAGAAAAUAUUAAGAUUGUAGAAACGUUGAUUAAUGAAUUCAAGUUGACCAUUGAACCACAAAAGGAAGCUCUGGAGGAAAUUAAGGAACUGACACAAAUGGCAAAUGAACAUUCACCUUUAAUGCAGAUAAAGAUUGAACCACUGGUAGAAGUAGUUCUUUCACAAAUCAACUAUUUAACUGACCGUCUACAAGAAAUGAAUCAAGUGCCACAGAAUGAGAAACCCGAAGUCAUUUCUCAGGCCAUUGACUUCUGUGAGAAAAUUGAUUUUCAGCUAAAACAAAUAAAAACAAAUCUCAAAAACAAGUGAUUAGACUUGGGACUCUACCGUGCAUUAUCUGCCAUGCUAAAAAUGAAAAGGAAAAGAAAUAAGAAAAAAGAAUGAUUAUCUUUCAUUAAAAGUGGAGCUAAACAAUAAAAUUAAAUUAAAUGACUGCUAAUAAAAUAAAUGAUCAAACUAUUAAUCACAAAUCACUGAGUACAUUGUUUAGAACAGCUGUCAGUUUCUGGAAGAUCAUAAUGAAAAAAGAUGUCUUCAGUGUUGAAUAGGUCAUAAUGUCUGUUCAACACAGUGCUUUAUUAAACCUGUACAGUUUAAGUUUUGAAUAGUUCCAUAUAGCAGUGAAACCUGUCAAAAAGGGUCACAGGUCACCGGCCUGAUGUGGACAGUGUGGGAUGCAAAUAUAAAUCUUAAUGUUACUUGCUAUACCAUGUAUUUUAUUUGUUACAUGUAUUGGAAUGAUAUGUAAUAUGUUUGUUAAACUUUAUAUUUUUGUAUACUGUAUGGCUAAUGUCUUUGGCACAAGUUACAGUUUGCUUUUGUUGCUAUGCUACCUUUUUGUUUAGUACUCAUGGGAAUAACAACAGCAUUAGUUGUAUAAUUAGGAAAAAUAUAUGCAACGAAAUAUAAAUAACAUGACCUAACGUAUUUCUUUCCACUAAAAGUCAACAAUUCUUUUUACUGUGGCUCCAAUAAAAUUGUGCUUAAUAAUGAUGUUGUAUGAUAAUGUUGACACAGCCAAAUGCCGGCUAUGUCAAAAACACUCUUGUAAUCAUGUUUGAUGUUUUAUUGCAUUUCUGUUAAUAUCACUCUAAGCCGCCUGAUACAGGUUGGUUACUGAUUCACUCAAUUUGUCAAUGUUACCCUUUAUCUUCUAAGUGUAAUAAAAUAAAUACAUAUACAAUAAA
This is a long non-coding RNA of Gambusia affinis (western mosquitofish), 1955 nucleotides long. RefSeq lists it as uncharacterized. The record is from RefSeq and is a predicted model, not a curated record. NCBI's taxonomy places the organism in Eukaryota, Metazoa, Chordata, Actinopteri, Cyprinodontiformes, Poeciliidae. The transcript has 4 exons.